RNAcentral lists this ribosomal RNA (257 nucleotides) under uncultured bacterium. Its description in RNAcentral is "partial 16S ribosomal RNA". It matches the Rfam family "Bacterial small subunit ribosomal RNA", at positions 75 to 334 of the family's 1533-position model. The record is from RNAcentral.
CUUGCUUUCUUUGCUGGCGACCGGCGCACGGGUGAGUAACACGUAUCCAACCUGCCCUUUACUCGGGGAUAGCCUUUCGAAAGAAAGAUUAAUACCCGAUAGUAUAAUGAUUCCGCAUGGUUUCAUUAUUAAAGGAUCCGGUAAAGGAUGGGGAUGCGUUCCAUUAGGUUGUUGGUGAGGUAACGGCUCACCAAGCCUUCGAUGGAUAGGGGUUCUGAGAGGAAGGUCCCCCACAUUGGAACUGAGACACGGUCCAA